This 249-nucleotide ribosomal RNA is filed under the name uncultured prokaryote. Its description in RNAcentral is "partial 16S ribosomal RNA". It matches the Rfam family "Bacterial small subunit ribosomal RNA", at positions 524 to 772 of the family's 1533-position model. The record is from RNAcentral.
UAUGGAGGAUGCAAGCGUUAUCCGGAUUUAUUGGGUUUAAAGGGUGCGCAGGUUGUUUGAUAAGUCAGUGGUGAAAGUCUGUCGCUUAACGGUAGGAUUGCCAUUGAUACUGUUAGACUUGAAUAUGGAUGAGGUAGGCGGAAUGUGUAGUGUAGCGGUGAAAUGCAUAGAUAUUACACAGAACACCGAUUGCGAAGGCAGCUUACUAAUCCAUCAUUGACGCUGAGGCACGAAAGCGUGGGGAUCAAA